Molecule: long non-coding RNA, 646 nt
Organism: Hemicordylus capensis (graceful crag lizard)
Lineage: Eukaryota; Metazoa; Chordata; Lepidosauria; Squamata; Cordylidae
Exons: 2
Source: RefSeq, a predicted model, not a curated record
UGGACUUGGACCCCGAAGUCCAGGAGUAAGAGUGCCACUGCCUGGAAUUGUUGAUAAAAUAUUCAGUGGCCAGAUCCUGCUAUUUGUCAUUUCGCCCUUCUAGAAUGUUCCAGAAAAGCCAAGAAAUUUGAUCUGCCAGGAACUCUAGAGAGGGAGAAAAUGGUGACUGGCAGGAACUGGCCACUAGAAACAUUAUCAUCACUCUCUGGUGUUGCUGAAAGCUGCUGCUGUCUGUGUGGUGAAACAGUUAAAGAAAGAACAAAGGCUUGCAAGACCACCACCACCGCCACUGGUAAUUUCCGGAGAUCCGAUCUAAACCAGAGUCCUGAAAGCUCAACUUUCCAAAACCUUCAUAUGCAGCUGCCUGAGUCAGGUCAUUGGCCUGGAGCUUGAUAUUGUCUGUUCUGAAUGGCACAGUCUCUCCAAGGUCCCUGGCAGAAGCCCUUCUCAGAACCUAUCUCAGAGAUCCUUUAACUGGAGAUGCCAGAGACUAAAUGUGGAAUCCUAUACUUGCAAAUAAAGUGCUCUGCCACUGGGUGAUAUUACAACAUUUCCCCACUUCCUCACUGCCAUCUCUAGUGGCAGUGUUUCCUGCAUUCUUGUUGCAGAUCCCUUUAGUCUUAAUAAAGUUGUGGCCUCUAUUUAA